UGGGGAAUAUUGGACAAUGGGCGAAAGCCUGAUCCAGCCAUGCCGCGUGUGUGAAGAAGGUCUUCGGAUUGUAAAGCACUUUAAGUUGGGAGGAAGGGCAGUAAGCGAAUACCUUGCUGUUUUGACGUUACCGACAGAAUAAGCACCGGCUAACUCUGUGCCAGCAGCCGCGGUAAUACAGAGGGUGCAAGCGUUAAUCGGAAUUACUGGGCGUAAAGCGCGCGUAGGUGGUUUGUUAAGUUGAAUGUGAAAGCCCCGGGCUCUACCUGGGAACUGCAUCCGAAACUGGCGAGCUAGAGUAGAGCAGAGGGUGGUGGAAUUUCCUGUGGAGAGGUGAAAUGAGUAGAUAUAGGAAGGAAAACCAGUGGCGAAGGCGACCACCUGGGCUAAUACUGACACUGAGGUGCGAAAGCGUGGGGAGCAAACAGG
RNAcentral lists this ribosomal RNA (429 nucleotides) under Pseudomonadota bacterium. Its description in RNAcentral is "Proteobacteria bacterium partial 16S ribosomal RNA". It matches the Rfam family "Bacterial small subunit ribosomal RNA", at positions 355 to 776 of the family's 1533-position model. Lineage: Bacteria; Pseudomonadati; Pseudomonadota. The record is from RNAcentral.